GGAGGGAUGCCCGAGUGGUUAAAGGGGACGGACUGUAAAUCCGUUGGCUUUGCCUACGUUGGUUCAAAUCCAACUCCCUCCACCA
RNAcentral lists this transfer RNA (85 nucleotides) under Candidatus Tokpelaia sp. RNAcentral describes it as "tRNA-Tyr". It matches the Rfam family "tRNA". Rfam says of the family: Transfer RNA (tRNA) molecules are approximately 80 nucleotides in length. The record is from RNAcentral. Lineage: Bacteria; Pseudomonadati; Pseudomonadota; Alphaproteobacteria; Hyphomicrobiales.